RNAcentral lists this long non-coding RNA (1672 nucleotides) under Triticum aestivum (bread wheat). RNAcentral's name for it is "long non-coding RNA (TAES_LNC021176)". The record is from RNAcentral. Lineage: Eukaryota; Viridiplantae; Streptophyta; Magnoliopsida; Poales; Poaceae.
UAGUGCGGACAACCGUCGGUCUCGCGUGGUGAGCCGUGUGGAUCAGAACCCGCGUCCCCGUCUGAUCCGUGGACCAGGAAAUUGGCUUUCCGUGUAGUGGUGGCAGCAGAAACGAAUUGAGGGCAGGACCGAGAUUCUUCUCGGCUAUGGCGUGUGUCAUUUGGAAGCUGAAGACCCGGGGACGGAGGCAACUAGCGCCGCCGGCGAGCCGCCAUGGAGUUUCUGGUGCAACCAAUUAGCAGGUGCGUGGAUCUUCUUUUUCCAGGGAUGCUGCCCCCAUUUUGUAGCCCUCUUGUUAGCUGAUCCAGAGAUGGAUUUGUUGCAAGAUUCAGAUUUAGUCUGCUUGAGGAGGUAGGGGAGCCGGUUCCUGUGGCUGUCAAUGUCUCUGUCGUGGCGGAUCUGCAAGUGGCACUACAGGCGGAGCGGGAGGCAGCGCAACGGCGGUGGACAGCGGCGAAGCACAAAUCUUCUUGGCAAAGGAGGCGGCGGCGAACAGAAGGGAGAGCUCGCCACCAAGGUCGGAGCUGUCGACGGGGAAGAUGAAUCCCCAAGCACUGGGGUGGAACAAAAGGUUGGUGAAGUAGAAACUUUGACUUCCAUCCGAUAUUAUGUGACUUAGAAAAUGGAAGUAGAAAUGACUGAAUAUAUCAUGCAGUUAGAGCAAGUGCGGGUUGCUGUCUGCAUUAAUAAAUUUCCCGCUGUAUGUGCCUGUGUUUGCACACUGAUUUGUUCUCUGCAUUCACAAAAUUCAGGCGCCUGUAGUCUCUGAAAGUACGGAUGCAGGCUAAUUACUCUCUGUAGUGAAAAGAUUUCUGAUUUAUGUACUGGUAGUUGCAGACUGUUUGCUCCCUGUAUUUAGAUAAUUUUUACUAUACGAGAGCCUAUGUUUUCAGGCUGGUUGAUCUCUGCAGUAAGGAAAUUACUAAAUUAUGUACUGGUGUUUGCAGUAUGUUUGGUGUAUGAAUUUUGAAAAUUCAUAGAUAUGUGCCUGUGUUGGUAGGAUGAUUGCUCCCUGCGAUUAGAAAAAAUCAUGCUAUAUUUGCCUUUGUUUUGUAUGUUGAUUGCUUUAUAGGUAAGAUCGAUGAACAAAAUCCAUCUUCUUACUCUGCAUAUAUGUGCAUAUUUUUUAUUUACUAAAGGUGGAGAGGCAUCCCAAUGAUAGCCACAACAAGUUCAGGAAGAAUCUUGGAGCACCUUCUGUCAAGGAUUUGAACUUUUGAAGCCAUCUCUGUUCUCUUUCGGCUCCGCUUGAUGGAUGACCAAAAGUAGCUUUAUAUCCCCAUGAAAGUCUCGAAUGUUCCAGUAAGUAUUGUUCAUGUACAUUAUGAAAAUGCUAUUCGGUUGAGUCAUGUUUUUAUUCUGUCGAAUGAUGAUUUUGUUAGUAUAGUCGACAGUAAAAAGUUUAAACCCAUUAGAGAUUAUUAAACAAAUGUUCACCGGAAAACAGAUUGUGAGGGUUUGAUUGAGAUAUGGAAAAGCCACAAGAAGAAUCGUGCUUCUGUUCUACCUAUUCUCCUUGAAAUCCAAGAGCUCGGUGGUUCUUUUUUUAUUUUCUAGUUCAGCUUUGUAAGGCCUGAGUUAAAUUUAGCUGCACAUUUAACUGCCAAACAUGCUUCUAGCUCCUUGCCGGAGUGUGCGCGGUUCUACUAGGUCCCGGCAUCUCUGAACAAUU